GGGGAGUAUUAUCAUAGGGGGAGAACAUUAAACACAACUUUUUAAUUAUGAUAAAAAAGGGAGAGAAAAUCUUUAAAGCUUAUUUGCUUAUUUGUAUUAAUUCCCUAAUGCUCUUUCCUUCCAUAAGUUAUGUUUUUAUCCAAAUUAUCACUAAAAGCUUUAAAUCAAAGAAGUUUUUUAUCAUCAUCAAAAAGGGGGAGAAUGUUAGAAAAAUGAUGAAGA
This 222-nucleotide long non-coding RNA is filed under the name Vigna radiata. Its description in RNAcentral is "long non-coding RNA (VRAD_LNC000477)". Lineage: Eukaryota; Viridiplantae; Streptophyta; Magnoliopsida; Fabales; Fabaceae. The record is from RNAcentral.